UGGGCGGAGGGAGCAGCUGGGGCACAGGCCCUGAGAUGGGAGAGCACCCGGCAAGUUCCAGGAACAGCAAGGAGGUUGGUGCCAUGGAAGGAGAGUGAAAGAGGGAGAGGGUGGCAGGAGUUCAUGGGUGUGGAGAGCCUUGUGGGCCACUGUAAGGCCCAUGGUUCUUGCUGUGAGUGAGGUGGGAGCCAUUGAAGGCACUUGAGCAGAGGAGUGACCUGAUCUGACUUAUCCUUCAAGGCUGGCUAAAGGCGGCAAGUGUGGAAGCUGCUCCCCCAGGGGAUCCUGCUCCUCUGCAUGGCAUCUGCCUGCUGACCCCUGGCCCCCCACUGACCUACACCUAGGACUGUGUGCAGCAGUACUUCCUAAUGCUUUAUUGCUUGAGGCAAGAGGCAGGGGUUGCAAAGAGAAGGGGGGGGAUGAGGCAGCAGUCAGGGGUGGGAGGAAGUGGUUAGGAUCAGCCUGGGUCCUGGACGAUUUACAGGGCAUGUUAUUGUGAAUAGCAGUCAGAACAGGACUCACUGGAGAAUCAAAAUCACCCUUAGUCCCAGGCCUCAGCUCAGAGGGCUUUGAAAAUAAUGCCCCGAAUAACUAAAAAGAGACAGUGCUCUCCUCCCUCCUCCUGCCUCCAGAGGGAUAUUCAUCUGCAAAUAAAUGGAAACCAAAUCUAGCAAUUUGCAUGACUCAAGCUAUCAGUGUAAGCUGCCAGGAUCUUUGCAGAAGAUGCCUGUGGACUGUCGUGUGGUUAUACAAAUGUGCUGCUCUGAGGUGCCGCCCUGUGUGGCAUCUUCUAUCUUCUGGCUGCAGAGGCUCUCCCUGCUGUGUGCUCAACAACCUUUGAACCCUAAGUGCUGUCCAUGCAGAUGAGGCAAAGGGAAUUUCCCAGGUUCUGGGAUUAGGAUGUGGACCUCUUCAGGAACCAUUCUUCUGCCUAUCACAAUGGAUGCCCAGAGGCCUAAGAGAUUGUUUUCGAGCAGAGGAGAGAUGACAGAACCCAGACCAGCCCAGAGAAGAAGGACAAGCAGAAGGGAUGGGCAAGGAAAGACAAACAACAUGGCCUGAUUCAGAGACACUGGCUGAGCGAGCAGGAUAAGAAAAUAACAACAGGGAACAGAUGAGGACCCCUGGUCCAGCAUGGUCUGAGUACAUAGGAAACCUCAAUGAAUGCUAAAUAGUUGGAUGGAUGAAUAGAUGGGCACUCAUCUACAGGAUUCUGAUACAGUCAUGGCAUGCACCACAUUGUCUCAUCUUGGGACUAAACAUCCCAGUAUGACAGCUAGGAAGGAUUCAAUUAAUCCCUAUUCAUUAAUUCAAGGCAGCAUAAGAGAUGAUCCAGGGUGUGGCUUCAGGAGUCAGGCUGCCUGAAUUCAAAUUCCUAUUCCAAGAUUUCCUAGCUGUUCUACCUUGGGAAAGUUGCUAUAUCUCCCUGAGUCUCAAUUUCUCCAUUUGCAAAGCAGAAAUAAUGAGAGUACCAACACAUAGCGUGGUUGUGAGAAUUAGAUUAUUUAUAUUAAGUGCUUAACACAGUGCUUGGUGGAUAGAGAAAACUAAAAAUAAUAUUAAUUAUUAUUAUAAAUUACUAUUAAUUUCAUGGUUGCUUACCGUGUCCUUUUCUUUAUUAUUAAUAAUAAGAUAACAGAGAUACUGCCCAGUAACCCAAUUUCCUUCAGUGUUAGAGUCAAUGGCCUUACAAUGGCCCACAGGGCCCUGCAUGACCUUGCUUCAUGUCUUGUCUGGCCCUGCCUUCCAUCUCCCUCCCUCUUUUCCUCUCUGCUCUUGCCACACUGUGCUUCAAACAUGCCAGGCAUGCUCCUGCUCAGGCUCUUGGCAGCCGCUCCCUACCAGGCUCAUCCUCCAGAGGGCCUCAUGACCCACUCCCUCACCUCCUUCAAGUCUUUGUUCUGAUAUCCCCUUCUCAGUGAGGUCUUCCCCCGCCCCUUUUAAAUUGCCCAUUCUGCCCUAUCCCUGGCACUCUAAUCUCCCUUCCUGCCUUAACUUUAUCCCCAUGGCACCUACCAAGAUGUGACUCACCAUGCACUUAACUUAGUCAUCUUGUUUAUUGUCAACUUCCCAUAGCAGAAUCUCAGAUCUAUGAGGGCAGUGAGUUAUAGCUCUUCUGUUUCCCAGUGCUACAGCAGUGCCUGCGCAGAGUAGGCAUUCAAUAAAUAGUUGUUGAAUGAAUAAAUGAUAUAUUGUGAGGAUAUUCCAGGCCUUGCUGCCUAUGUCCAAAAUCCCUAAUCAAAGUUGAAAGGAGGCAGACAUCCAAAUGGAAGUGGAAACAGUUCUCAGAAACCUAGAGAGGCAUCAUGAAGGAGGUGGCCUUUUCCUUGAGUCUUAGAGGGUGUCCUUAGGUAGAGCUGGGGGUGGGGGACAUUCCAGGCUAUGGCUGACAUCCGCCAAGGCCCUGCAAAGAGGAAGCGUCAGAUGAUGUGCAGCACAGGGGUCCCUUAAAACAGGCCAACCCUUGUUUCAGGGAGAAAGCUUAGAAAGUGGUACAGGUGACUGUAGUGCCAUGAGCUAGGUUUUUGCACAGACUGUAGGGGAGAGUGCCAGGUCAGAGGCAGCCCUGGAAAAUCUCAUCCCAGCCAGGCAGGCAGACCCAGAGAGGUGCAGCUAGCCUUUCCAUCAGCGUGGCAGCAAGAAGGAUGGCCUACACUGAGCAGAUGCAGAAGUGAGCUUUCCUGCCUGCCCCUUUCUGCACUGAGCCUCAGAACCUCCAGCCCACACUGGAGCUAGAGUGAAGGCACUCAGUUGGGGUGAGUGAAGCCCUUCCUCUAGAAGAGUUACACUCAAAAUGGACCCACCUCUUCCACAUGGCAGGAUGCUGCCCCCUCCAAGCAGGGCACAAAGGAGGCUGCCAAGAAGGCAGAGGCCUGGCCUGGCAGACCCAGCUCUGCUCAGCCCCCACAGAUCUGAGCUUGACAAGGGCUGCAGGAAGAAGAAGGGCAGGGCCCUGUGAGUGCUCAGCCUGCACUGAGCCUUCACUCUGGGGUGAGAUGGAGGACCCACAUUCAGAACCUAGCUUUGCCGCUUAGCUGUGCUGGGCAAUACCUUUGAAGUCUCUCAGCCUCACUUUCCUCAUCUAGAACAACUGGACCAGGCUGGGUCAAUCUGGGGUUUGGAAGUGGGAUUCAGAAAAACAUUCAGAAACUUGAAAACUGGGGGGCUCAGGGUGCUGUUCUGGGGAAACCUAUGGAGUCCAUGGACAUGAAAAAGCACAGAAAGCUGGUUCACAGGGAGAGGAGGAGGACGCCUGAGGGAGACCAGGGUGCCCUCAGGGAGGCGAGGGAGGUGCAGCCUGGGUUACUGAUGGCUCUUCCCAAUCCACGGCUGCAUUUCCAGCCCGGGGUUACCUGAGACACCCCAUGUCCUUAUAAUGCAUUCUCCUUUUUUUCUCAAUUUGCUUAGAAAAGAUUUCAAGUGUGUUUCCAUGUGGGGUAGGGCCCACGUGCUCUUUUACAAAGGGCCCUUGCUACUCCUCUGCUAAAGAGGUGGAAACUAUUUCCCCUCCACCCGUCCUGUUGCUGGUUUGCAAUGAAUGAAGCAUCAAUGACAUUCUGGGCAUUCCUGGUCCAGGUAUCAAGAAGACCUGGCAGCUUCCACUUUUGCACUCUUGGAGGAGCCAGCUGCCAUGUAAAAAGUGUCACUUCCCUGAAACCACUAUGCUGUGAGGAAGCCUGAGCUAACCCACUUGGAGAGACCACAUAGAGAGAGUUGUCCCUGGCUAGUCCAGCCAUCCCAGCCCAGUUUCCAGACAGUAAAUGAAGAACCCUUCUUGAAUGUUCCAACCCCAGCAGACAACUCAUGGAACUGUCCAUUUGAAACUGGCCCAAUUUUCCCAUAGAACUGAAGCUUGAGAAACUUACAUUUGUCUUAUGAGUUCCUUUCUCAGGAAAUCGACCAUCAGGCCUCCCAGACAGGAUCAAGAAACUGAUACAUUCCAGAUCACCUUAUCCAGACAAUGAGAGGCCAGACCUCUCGUCUGACCAUCUGUUGCCUGUUCACUAGCUCCUCUUCCUUCCCUGCUCUACAAACUCCUAACUUUGGUCAGCGAGAAAGUCAGAUUUGAGACUUGUCUCCCAUCUUCUGGUGGAUGUCACCCAUAAUAAAGCCUUU
This 4116-nucleotide long non-coding RNA is filed under the name Homo sapiens (human). RNAcentral's name for it is "HSALNT0340146". The record is from RNAcentral. Lineage: Eukaryota; Metazoa; Chordata; Mammalia; Primates; Hominidae.